This is a long non-coding RNA of Oreochromis niloticus (Nile tilapia), 921 nucleotides long. RefSeq lists it as uncharacterized. The record is from RefSeq and is a predicted model, not a curated record. The transcript is spliced from 4 exons. Lineage: Eukaryota; Metazoa; Chordata; Actinopteri; Cichliformes; Cichlidae.
UGCAAACGCAUAGAAAAAUCUGCGUUUUCAAAAAUACCCGGGUACGUGUGGACAUAGCCGCAGAGUCAACGGUCGGCGCCAAUUUUGACGUCACACUGCGCUACGUUUUUGUCUCGGUGCUAUGAAAUCCUACAAUGGCAGCCUUAGACAAAAUACUGUUAAUUUAAGUAUAUUCAGUGUUUAAAUGCUUACAUUUACACACACAGUAACUGUCCCUUCACACAAAGGACUCGAUUCAUCUUCUAUGAGCUGUCUUUGUAUCUAGUUUUCCCUCUUUAUUGACGUUGUUCCUUAUUUCUCCUCUUUUUUUCAGAUCACAUUUGGUUACUACCAUCCACCCAUCAAUACACAGGGCAAGAAAAGACUCCAAAUUUUACAAAAAGUUAAAAAUGAAAGACUGGUGCAUUGUGCAGUUCAACACUGGUGGUACAGAAAUUGUCCCUAGUUCAUGGUUAAAUGGGAAGAAAUUGUCAUGGCCUCCAUAUCCUCCGCGAGACACAUUCAGGAUCCACGCCGCAGUAAAGAGGAGAGUUCAUCCUGGUGCAACAUGGCUCACCUAUGCACCAGUCCGGCUUCUCAUAAGCCAUGACACAUUUCAAGAAGCCGAACGCAGUCUCCAGAAAUAUCUCAGUGAACACUGUGAUACAUCUGACCUUCAGUCCGAAGCUGAAAGUCAGACCACUCUUAAAAGAAAGCACAAACCAAAUCCCCUGUACACGUAUAGUGACUCAGAGGAUGAGCAGCCCACAAAAAAAAGGUUUCCCCAGGCCCCUCGAGUGAAAAUACCAGGUAAUAAAAUAAUGUCUAGUGUCUGUGUACAUAACUGUGUGUCACACAUGGAAACUUCUUGGACAAGUUGUCUGUAUUCUUAAAUACUUUAAAAAAUUUAUCUUUUUCGAUACAGCCCUCAACGCUUCGCAG